CUGCUGGUCAGUGUACACUUCAUCCUGAGAAAGAAGCUGCGCUCCGUGUUUUGUUCUUUGCCCUUUUUCACAGGACCUAGCAAAAGGAAACAGUAAACCAGUUCUUGAGCUCAUGGAUCAUCUUCCGAAGGGGAGAACCUUCUGAAGUUGGCUACUAGCUCAGCUAUUCAAAAACCAAACAGCCUAAUUUGGGCACAGAAAACAUACUGAUCCUAUCAGGAAUGCUGCAAGCAGCUCAGCUGAGCACGGACAAAGCACCUAGGACAAGGAGGUGCGGAACAAAGCCAGCCUGCAGAGGGAUGCUUAGAGUGAGGACCAAAUCACAAUACAGCAUGGAAGUUCAGAACACGAGGCCAUUGCCAAAUUAUCUUUGCUAUGCCUGUGGAUCUGUGCAAAAACAUGCAACUUUUUAAUCAGCACAUCAUCUUAUGAGAGGUUCCGCAAGUGACAGAGGAAAGUGACUCACAAGCUGAUAUUACCAGGGAAAUAAGGAACCAGAUUCAAUGGAAGCAGUUAAAUAUAUGCAGAAAUCAUGUGCUAAUUGCAACAGCCAAAGAACCUGCUUAGUUUGUGCAGAAGUAUCCAAGUGACUGUGCUUUCAAGGCUGACCUUGCAAGCAUGAAUGCCUUGAAAUAUUAAGGAAGCUUAAAGAGUCAUUUUUAAAGACCAAAUUUCUUCGCAUUCUGUCUCCACCUGAAGGCUGAGAAAUGGAUAUCUUGGUCUAGGAAUCCUGAGGCCAAUGACAUACAGGUAUAUCCCAAAAGUCACUACAAGAAGCCAGACCUUUAACAGUACUGAAAAAAUAUUUUAGCUAUUUCAAACUGGAUGGAUUAAACAUUUCUCACUGAAGUCAGGCCUCAAGUGUCUUUUCUCUCAAUGGAAAACUGAGGGUGGAGGUGAAAAACCACUCCCAAUUCUGUCCUUCUCCUCUGACCACAGGUUUUGCCUCUGACAAAAGUAAAACAGGUAAUUAUGCUUCCUUAAACAGAUUCACCUUUGUACCUCUGAUUUUCCUUUGUUAGCUGCUCAUUCAAGAUCCCUUCACUUGCCAGAAGUUCCUUCUACUAUAGAAUUAUUUCAAGUAAUUGGUUCCCAUUGGCAUAGAUGCCAGAGCUUCACUAUAGCUUCCCUUUCGACUGCAGACAGUACUUUUUACCUAAAAUCAUGCUUGAACAAUAAUGCUGUGUACUUCAAGUUUGUGCAUUUGUCAGGCUCAAAAGUAACAAAGAAACGCAGGAAAGGGCAAUGCAAGAGAUGGAAACAGUCCUUUCCCAUGUAUUUGUCUUCUCUCUGAAAGCUCCAUGUUCUUGAAAACAUUUCAGCUGGAUUCUAAAUGUUUGGUUUUAGGACUCUCAGCACAGAUUUCAACAGAAGUCAGAGCUUUUCACAGCCCCUAAAUUACUAAUUACUGACUUGAAUAUUGCUCAUAUCAAGCUCACAGUGCUGCUGUUAAAAAUUAAACCCAGAGCAAGUGAAUCAAGCACUGCCUGCUGAAACCCUGUGUUACAAUGGGCAAAACUUGAGGAAAGCCCAAAUGUCAGUAACAAACAGUGACGUCCCAGCAGCAGCUCCAGGUCUCCCUCUUACUAUAUAUUUCCUUACGAGAAAGGCUACUACUAUAGAUAGAUAUUUAAACUGUACAGCAGAACACUUUACUAUUUUUAGCUGUUGUUGAAAACUAAGCUGUAACUAAUCUGGGUAAAACCCAGCAAUUUAAAUGGGAAGAUUAACCUCCAGCUUCAAAGAGCAUUUCUUUAAUGGAUCAAAUUAAUGGGGAAAAGGUCUUUCACAAAUGAAGUUUAAUUACCAAGUGAAGUCAGAGUUGCCUCAACACGGGAUGUCACCAAAUACGAAAAAGCAAAAGAAAAAAAAAAACGCUUUGCUGUUGCAAAUCUAAGCUUUGUUACUGUUACUUCCAGUUGCACAAAGUAAAUGAAAAAGCACACUGUGUAGCUGCCAAGAAAUUUCAGUGUAGUCAAUUAAAGGAUGUUUAACUCCUGUAAAGAAAAUACAUUUCUGAAGCGAGCUCUCUCAGUUAGAAUAAAAGGGAGCUCAAGGAAGGGGACUUCAAACAAUAAAAUGUGAACUAGUUCAAAAAUAAAGUAUAUAAUUUAUUCAAACUAAGAGACAUUUUCAGAAAUGCCUACGUUUAAAAAUCUUGGUCUUAACAACAGAAAUAUAAUCCUGCAAGAGCAACGGGAACCUGAGUUCUGUUUAAGAAAGAUCAACAUCAAAAACUUAAGAUAUCUAUCACAGCCUUCUGUCUGUUUCGCAUGAAAGAAAAGCACCUAAAGAUUCAGAAGAUCAUCACAGUUGAAGAGGGGAUUAUGCAUGCAAUGAAAAUAUCAGAAAUGCCCAUGCUGGGCAGGAAAUUGCCUGCAUUUUAAGGUAUGAUGUUUCCUGCCCAAUUUCAGUGCCAGACGUUCAUUUCCAUUUUGUGUUUCUAGCAGCGGAAUACAGAAGCAGAAAGCAAUCUAAUGCAGGAUAUACACAGAAAACAGUGCUUCACAGACCAUUUUAGAACCAGUUCUUUGCACGUCUAUGUAAAAGAUCUUCACGUGAAAUAGCUGAACAAAGAACUGAGUUCCAGAAGUUACCAGAGUUGGACACUCAAAGCAAAACCGUAUUUCACCACCAGGUUUCACUGCAGCUGAAGGAUAAUAUUCAGGUUUCCACUCACUGCGCCCAGAUGAGAAAGGCUUUAAAAUACGGCAGGAUGAAUACAAAUAAAGGUUUACAGCAGGCUUUCGCAGCAAGCAAAAGCUGGACCAGCAGGUAUCACAUGCCCCAGUUACAGAUGUUAGUGCAGCCUCUGCACCUGAAUGUGCAAUUCCUCUAAGUAUGGCUAUAUGAACUACUUGGGCCAGAGCAUCUUUCUUAAACAAUAUAUUGCUCACCAAAUCAUCUCAAAGACCCCUCCACUGCAUAUUUGUAUGAGUGACUCCCCACUCUUCUAAAAUAGCUCCCAGCUUUCCCCUUCUUAUCUAUAAAACUAAUUCACAGCCACAUUUACAGCUGCCAUAUUCCUCCUUGCUUAACACCGGUAUCAAAGACCUAGAAGAACUCUGGAAAAUGCCAUAAGUAACCAAUAAAUUUAAAUAAAGAAUUAUUAACAAGAUUAAAAAAUGGUCAAUGGCCAGGUGUUAAAACACGUGCCAUGUGAACUUUGUCUUCUAGUAUCUUAAAUCAUCACCUUACGCAAAACUUCACCCUGUGUACACAGUAUUACCCUGGAGAAUCACUUUUGUUUUUUCCUGUAAGUUGCUUUACUGCUGCUAUUUAUUUUCUGUUGCUUUACUGCUGCUAUUUAUUUUCUAUCCUUUCUAGUUGUAAAUUCAUUCAUACUAACUUGCUGAUUCUCUACUCAGAUUUGUACUCUGUAGGUGUUUUCAAUUCCCAUGUAAAAACUAUUGUGCAUGCGUUAAUUAACACAGCCUCAUCUUUUCUGAUUCAGGACCCAGCAGGUCCUUCCUCACAGCCACCCGUACCCCGCCGUGACCGGCUCUGUUUGGGGGGCUCAGCCUCGCCGACAGCUCUCACUGCCCCACACAGCUGCAUGCCAGAUACAAGCCCACUGGAAAGGCAGGGCUGCCAAAAAGCAUAUUACAGCCGUGCUGUACUCAACUGCACUGAACAUUCAGUUCGAUUUUCCUCACCGCCUGCUAGGUUGAUUUUGUUCAGGGCUGCUAGCCACAGCGCUUACUGAAUUCUUCUACCAUGGGAAGAAGUCCCAGACAAGCCCAGUGCUUACCAGAGAAAUUAAAGCAGCAUAAUUCUACUUCCCUGAAGAGACCCUCCUAUGAAGGGAGGCAGUAAGGAAGUAAGCAAAGCACACCACUCAAAUCCAGACAGUUAAACACACGGCAAGUUAACCAUAAAUCCUUGUCCCUUGAAGGUGCCCAGGCAUACAGCGGCCUUGAGAGGGAGCUGCCAUCUCUGCUGUUUAACUGGAGGAAAGGCCGGCAGCGGGGCAGAGAGCAAAGCGGUGGAGGACGGCGUUCACCACGCGUGCCUGCCUGAGGAGUGCUCCUUGCCGGCAUCCAAACCUCCUCCUGGUAGUAAGGGGAAGAAAUUUCAGCCUGCGCUCACCAACACAAGGCCAAGUCUGAAUUUGCAGUUGAAACCAGCGAGGGACAAGCUUUCCAGGAACUACAUUUGCAUGCAGAUUUCCCAGAAUUUUUUUUCCAGUUGGUUUGGAAGGGCGCUCCUUCCUUCUCAAGCUGUGCUCCAGAGCUCCUACAAUGUCUCGGCUCACAACGAACUCCGAGGUACAGCUUCAGCUCUUCUUGCUUUUAUGUAACUUGCUUUUUAAAGAUCAUUGCUUUUGCCACGAUGGCCCAUUUUAUUUACCCAUUAACUUAUUUUGUAAGCCAUGCAGAGUUCUAGUGAGAGCAAUCCGACACCUUAAUCUCAAGUGUAGUCACAAGCAUGUGACCUUCUAGAUAAAGUCUUAUUUAUUAUGAAUUCAUGAACUUAAAACCCAGUAAUCUAACGAAGAAAAUACAUAUUAUUUAAAUACAGCCAUUUAGAUUUUAAAAGAUUUAACUGCAAAAAGUAGCGUAAUAUUAAAGCUCAGAGACGGUGCUUCUAUAUGCAAUCUGUUGCUUAAAUUUCAUUCCUUUGUACAUUUCCUCUGACAAAGCAAUUUAAACUGUUUUCUUCCCAUUCGGGUGGUUACAGGCAUUUACUGUAAUUUGAACACCAUCAAAAAACCCUGACUGAAAAAUACCCCGACAGACUAAGAGAGCAAGCAGGCAGCUGGAGCUGAAUUAGCUACAGCAGCACAAGCUUUCUGAAUGAGCGCUGCCUUCAAAAUCUACUGCUGUUUGCAAAAUGAUAGCGGGACCAGCUCUCAUUGACAAGAGUCCACCGAGCUACACGAGAUCUUACUCCCACGAUCACAAAUAAUAGAAUCACAGAAUUGAUUGUGUUGGAAGGGAUCCUUAAAAGUCAGCUAGUCCAGCUCCCCUGCAAUGAACAGGGACCACUAGAGCUCAUUCUACAAGUAGGUAAACUGUGGCAUAUGAGAGCCAGCAGCAGAGCCUGGCACUCCUGAACCUAGCACAAAACCACACUUCCAAGAUUAUCCAUCACCUGCGCCUGGCCUCAAACUGACCUGAAAACCUUCCUGCUUCCCUGCUUAGAAAGUGUAAGAAGGUAAAAGCUUCCCAAAUUAGUACUUCUAAUUAAGAGCAUGGUGAAGUGAUUCUGCUGUGUCUUACUACACUGAUAUUUUCACUGCACAGUAGUUUACUGUAUAAAAAUAACCAUAUGGCAUAGAAUGGUUGGUUGUGAGAAAAUUACGAUUUUUUCAACUAAAUUAUUUAGCUUUUUUUAGAAUACAGCCUUUUUUUCUUAUUAAAGUGCUGUGUUCUAUCCUUUAGGAUGGAAGAAGCAUAGUAGUUACACUGUGCUUAUUAUUAAAGAAAAAACACAACUACUUUAAGAAGAUAUCUGGACGUGGGCUUGGCAGAACUGCCCUCUGAGUGCUCUCCUCCCUGCAGCACAACUGUUGUUAAUGUCUUUUGCCUCAACAAGGCACACAAAGAAGCAGAACACAUCCCUGAGAAGGCUUCAUCACUCGAGCAUGCUCUCAGUUAACAAUAUUUUAGCUAUCAACUGCUCCACCUUCAGACAGGUAUAGACUCUUGAUAAAAUACCUAAUUUUAGUCUAAAUCAUGGGUUUAAAAAAAUAUAUUUUACGGUACUGCGUUCAAGUUUUUCAGACCAGAGGCCAAAGGAUUUUCCUCAUUGCUUGAACACGAGUUCUUACCCUUGUCUCUUGCAUUCCUCAUCUGCUUUCACUUAACAGGGUAUUUCACUAUCAAAGGUUUUAAAAACAAAAUAAAUAGAAAUAAGAACAUUUUAUUUUUCCCUAUUUGAAUAAAGAACAGAUCCACAGUCAAGAAAAAGGCUUACAUCAAUAGCAAGGAUAAAAAUCCUACGGUGAUGUCAGCUGCACAGUCAAUAGUUUGCAAGAAAAAAGUCCUUCCUGAAGAACCAAGCACUGAAAACACUCUGGUCAUCGGCUAAAUCACCUCCAUUUAGAGCACCCCGCUUGCAGCUUUUACAUUUGACACGGAUUGCUUCAAGUCUUCAGCUCCUUGCAGUAUAUUCCCACCUCUUGCAGUGGGUGUAAGCAUGGGGAAAGCGUGAGGAAGCCAACCUCUAACUCCCCUCUAGCGUAACAGUCCGGUUAUUAUUCUCAGUUGUGAGCAGCAUGAAAUAAUUUCACAAACAAGAUUCUUGGCCUCGGCGUUCUUUUCCUUUUUGAAACGUAAGAAUUGUCGUAACACACCAUCAGUCUGCUCUGGUUUAGUGAUGCGUUCUGGUAAACGAAAUGGGUCAUCUCUUUCAGGCAACACUGCCAGGAUUAUUACGAAUUGAAUUGAAAGGGAUGCUUUGUGAAUUACAAAGUUGUUUGGUAAAACCUUUCACUGGUGUAAAUAUAAGCACAGAUUUCUUCACACAAGCUCUGAUUCCAUUUUGUCAGUUCUUCACUGGAAAUUCAGGCUCUACUUCUAUGUAGUAAGUAACAUUUUUCCUCUGAACACUUAAAAAGAAUUCCCUCACACCACACCAAAUUCAACAGAAUUCACAGUUUCUCUACAUAGCCUAUGAUGUACACAUCUACUAUGUAUUAGCUAUCUUAAAGGAACUACUAAUGCAUCUUGAAGCACCAGUUCUUCGGCUUCAGACAACGCAUUUCAAACGUCUGGGUAAAAAAAUAUCUCAGCAUUUUAAAACACUACAUUGUUGUACAAGUCCUAAUAUUAUCAGGCUCCCACAGAAAGAAGUGACACAUUAUGGAUAUGAUGAGACCUGUCUUUAUCAAUGCACUUAUUCUGAUAUCUUGCAUCAAAUCCCCAGGCUGGUACAAACAGGCAUGGCUUCAAUGAACCUGUGCUAAUUUACAUCAACUGAGGCGAUGGCUCCACAUCAAAGAACCCUGAAGCAUUCGUCACCUACAUAAACUGUAUUUAAAUAUAUGUAUGUAUAUAUGCUGGCAUGUAUUCA
Numida meleagris (helmeted guineafowl) is the source of this 7017-nucleotide long non-coding RNA. RefSeq lists it as uncharacterized. The transcript is spliced from 5 exons. Lineage: Eukaryota; Metazoa; Chordata; Aves; Galliformes; Numididae. The record is from RefSeq and is a predicted model, not a curated record.